UACGUAGGGGGCAAGCGUUGUCCGGAAUCAUUGGGCGUAAAGGGCGUGUAGGCGGUCCGUUAAGUCCGCUCUGAAAGCCCGGGGCUCAACCCCGGGAGGCGGGCGGAUACUGUCGGGCUAGAGUCCGGAAGAGGCAAGUGGAAUUCCUGGUGUAGCGGUGAAAUGCGCAGAUAUCAGGAGGAACACCAGUGGCGAAGGCGAGUCUCUGGGAUGAUGCUGACGCUGAUGCGCGAAAGCCAGGGGAGCAAACGGG
RNAcentral lists this ribosomal RNA (253 nucleotides) under uncultured bacterium. RNAcentral's name for it is "partial 16S ribosomal RNA". It matches the Rfam family "Bacterial small subunit ribosomal RNA", at positions 524 to 776 of the family's 1533-position model. The record is from RNAcentral.